Molecule: ribosomal RNA, 893 nt
Filed under: uncultured bacterium
Lineage: Bacteria
Description: bacterial SSU rRNA
Rfam family: Bacterial small subunit ribosomal RNA
Source: RNAcentral
GUGCCAGCAGCCGCGGUAAUACGUAGGGGGCGAGCGUUGUCCGGAAUGAUUGGGCGUAAAGGGCGCGUAGGCGGCCCGGUAAGUCUGGAGUGAAAGUCCUGCUUUUAAGGAGGGAAUUGCUUUGGAUACUGUCGGGCUUGAGUGCAGGAGAGGUAAGUGGAAUUCCCAGUGUAGCGGUGAAAUGCGUAGAGAUUGGGAGGAACACCAAUGGCGAAGGCGACUUACUGGACUGUAACUGACGCUGAGGCGCGAAAGUGUGGGGAGCAAACAGGAUUAGAUACCCUGGUAGUCCACACUGUAAACGAUGAAUGCUAGGUGUAGGGGGUAUCGACCCCUUCUGUGCCGCAGUUAACACAAUAAGCAUUCCGCCUGGGGAGUACGGCCGCAAGGUUGAAACUCAAAGGAAUUGACGGGGGCCCGCACAAGCAGCGGAGCAUGUGGUUUAAUUCGACGCAACGCGAAGAACCUUACCAGGUCUUGACAUCCAGUAAAAGCCAUAGAGAUAUGGUGUGAGCUUGCUCAUACUGAGACAGGUGGUGCAUGGUUGUCGUCAGCUCGUGUCGUGAGAUGUUGGGUUAAGUCCCGCAACGAGCGCAACCCUUAUUUUCAGUUACUAACAGGUAAAGCUGAGGACUCUGAAGAGACUGCCGGGGACAACUCGGAGGAAGGUGGGGACGACGUCAAAUCAUCAUGCCCCUUAUGACCUGGGCUACACACGUGCUACAAUGGCCACCACAGAGAGGAGCGAACCCGUAAGGGGGAGCGGAUCUCAAAAAAGUGGUCCCAGUUCGGAUUGUGGGCUGCAACCCGCCCACAUGAAGUCGGAGUUGCUAGUAAUCGCGGAUCAGCAUACCGCGGUGAAUACGUUCCCGGGCCUUGUACACACCGCCCGU